Molecule: ribosomal RNA, 1542 nt
Filed under: Staphylococcus devriesei
Lineage: Bacteria; Bacillati; Bacillota; Bacilli; Caryophanales; Staphylococcaceae
Description: bacterial SSU rRNA
Rfam family: Bacterial small subunit ribosomal RNA
Source: RNAcentral
AGUUUGAUCCUGGCUCAGGAUGAACGCUGGCGGCGUGCCUAAUACAUGCAAGUCGAGCGAACAGAUAAGGAGCUUGCUCCUUUGACGUUAGCGGCGGACGGGUGAGUAACACGUGGGUAACCUACCUAUAAGACUGGGAUAACUUCGGGAAACCGGAGCUAAUACCGGAUAAUAUUUCGAACCGCAUGGUUCGAUAGUGAAAGAUGGUUUUGCUAUCACUUAUAGAUGGACCCGCGCCGUAUUAGCUAGUUGGUAAGGUAACGGCUUACCAAGGCAACGAUACGUAGCCGACCUGAGAGGGUGAUCGGCCACACUGGAACUGAGACACGGUCCAGACUCCUACGGGAGGCAGCAGUAGGGAAUCUUCCGCAAUGGGCGAAAGCCUGACGGAGCAACGCCGCGUGAGUGAUGAAGGUCUUCGGAUCGUAAAACUCUGUUAUUAGGGAAGAACAUACGUGUAAGUAACUAUGCACGUCUUGACGGUACCUAAUCAGAAAGCCACGGCUAACUACGUGCCAGCAGCCGCGGUAAUACGUAGGUGGCAAGCGUUAUCCGGAAUUAUUGGGCGUAAAGCGCGCGUAGGCGGUUUUUUAAGUCUGAUGUGAAAGCCCACGGCUCAACCGUGGAGGGUCAUUGGAAACUGGAAAACUUGAGUGCAGAAGAGGAAAGUGGAAUUCCAUGUGUAGCGGUGAAAUGCGCAGAGAUAUGGAGGAACACCAGUGGCGAAGGCGACUUUCUGGUCUGUAACUGACGCUGAUGUGCGAAAGCGUGGGGAUCAAACAGGAUUAGAUACCCUGGUAGUCCACGCCGUAAACGAUGAGUGCUAAGUGUUAGGGGGUUUCCGCCCCUUAGUGCUGCAGCUAACGCAUUAAGCACUCCGCCUGGGGAGUACGACCGCAAGGUUGAAACUCAAAGGAAUUGACGGGGACCCGCACAAGCGGUGGAGCAUGUGGUUUAAUUCGAAGCAACGCGAAGAACCUUACCAAAUCUUGACAUCCUUUGAUCGCUCUAGAGAUAGAGUUUUCCCCUUCGGGGGACAAAGUGACAGGUGGUGCAUGGUUGUCGUCAGCUCGUGUCGUGAGAUGUUGGGUUAAGUCCCGCAACGAGCGCAACCCUUAAACUUAGUUGCCAGCAUUCAGUUGGGCACUCUAAGUUGACUGCCGGUGACAAACCGGAGGAAGGUGGGGAUGACGUCAAAUCAUCAUGCCCCUUAUGAUUUGGGCUACACACGUGCUACAAUGGACAAUACAAAGGGCAGCGAAACCGCGAGGUCAAGCAAAUCCCAUAAAGUUGUUCUCAGUUCGGAUUGUAGUCUGCAACUCGACUACAUGAAGCUGGAAUCGCUAGUAAUCGUAGAUCAGCAUGCUACGGUGAAUACGUUCCCGGGUCUUGUACACACCGCCCGUCACACCACGAGAGUUUGUAACACCCGAAGCCGGUGGAGUAACCAUUUUGGAGCUAGCCGUCGAAGGUGGGACAAAUGAUUGGGGUGAAGUCGUAACAAGGUAGCCGUAUCGGAAGGUGCGGCUGGAUCACCUCCUU